This 546-nucleotide ribosomal RNA is filed under the name Distorsio reticularis. Its description in RNAcentral is "partial 12S ribosomal RNA". Lineage: Eukaryota; Metazoa; Mollusca; Gastropoda; Littorinimorpha; Personidae. The record is from RNAcentral.
AAAGAUCAAAUUAUACAUAUUAAGGUAAAAAGGCAGUUAGAUACUAUGUAAUUAGUUCAUUUAUUAUUUAUAUGAAAGUAAAAUUUAAAUAUAUAUUAAUAAUCUUAAAUGUACUAAUCAAAUUGACUCUGCGAUAGCCUUGAGGGAAACUGGGAUUAGAUACCCCAUUAUUCUUGGUUUUAAAUUAACUAAGAUUUACCAGAGUACUACGAAUUAAUAAAAUUUAAAACUCUAAGGGCUUGGCGGUGUUUUAGACCUUUCAGGGGAACUUGUCUCAUAAUCGACAAUCCACGUUAUACCUAACCUUUUUUAGUACUCAGUUUGUAUAUCGUCGUCGUCAGGUAACUUUUUAGAAUUUAGAAGUUAGCAGCUGAAAUUUAAAUUAAAUUCAAACGUCAGAUCAAGAUGCAGCUAAUAAAAAGGUGAUGAUGAGUUACAAUUAACAGAUUUGUAAAUAUGAAUAAAUUAAUGAAAAAUUAGUUUUGAAGGUGGACUUGAAAGUAAAAUAAAAUAUAUAAAUAUCUUGAAUAAGGCUCUGAAACAUGU